RNAcentral lists this unclassified non-coding RNA (238 nucleotides) under uncultured fungus. RNAcentral describes it as "sequence contains ITS1, 5.8S rRNA gene". The stretch from base 190 to 238 matches the Rfam family "5.8S ribosomal RNA", at positions 1 to 49 of the family's 154-position model. Lineage: Eukaryota; Fungi. The record is from RNAcentral.
UUUCCGUAGGUGAACCUGCGGAAGGAUCAUUAGUGAAUAACAAUGCUUGGGUGUCUCUGCUUCGGCAAGCCCCUCGCACCCUUCACAUCCAUAACACCUGUGAACUGUAAGAUGACCUCUCCGGAGGGCGUCUGACCUUUUUUACAAACAUUUAUACGUAUCUAAUGUAGUCUUAUUAUAACAAAAUAAAACUUUCAACAACGGAUCUCUUGGCUCACACAUCGAUGAAGAACGCAGC